RNAcentral lists this ribosomal RNA (1147 nucleotides) under human gut metagenome. RNAcentral describes it as "bacterial SSU rRNA". It matches the Rfam family "Bacterial small subunit ribosomal RNA", at positions 369 to 1520 of the family's 1533-position model. The record is from RNAcentral.
CAAUGGGGGAAACCCUGACCGAGCAACGCCGCGUGAAUGAUGACGGCCUUCGGGUUGUAAAAUUCUGUGGCGAGGAACGAAUGGCAAGGAGAGGAAAUGCUCUUUGUUUGACGGUACCUCGCUAGAAAGCCACGGCUAACUACGUGCCAGCAGCCGCGGUAAUACGUAGGUGGCAAGCGUUAUCCGGAAUUAUUGGGCGUAAAGAGUGAGCAGGCGGUUUUUUAAGUCUGAAGUCAAAUCCUGUGGCUCAACCACAGUUCGCUUUGGAAACUGAAGAACUAGAGUGCGGGAGAGGUAAGCGGAAUUCCAUAUGUAGCGGUGAAAUGCACAGAUAUAUGGAGGAACACCGGUGGCGAAGGCGGCUUACCAGCCCGAUACUGACGCUCAGUCACGAAAGCGUGGGGAGCAAAUAGGCUUAGAUACCCUAGUAGUCCACGCCGUAAACGUUGAGGACCUGAUGCCGGAGUAUUUCGGUGUCGUAGCUAACGCGUUAAGUCCUCCGCCUGGGUACUACGUUCGCAAGAAUAAAACUUAAAGGAAUUGACGGGGGCCCGCACAAGCAGUGGAGCAUGUGGUUUAAUUCGUCGCUACGCGAAAAACCUUACCAGGGUUUGACAUCCCGCUAAAAGUCUUGGAAACAAGAUCAUAGUUAUAGCGGUGAAAGGUGGUGCAUGGUUGUCGUCAGCUCGUGUCGUGAGAUGUUGGGUUAAGUCCCCUAACGAGCGCAACCCUUGUCUCUAUUUGCCAUCAUUAAGUUGGGAACUAUAGAGAGACUGCCGGUGCAAACCGGAGGAAGAUGGGGAUGACGUCAAAUCAUCAUGCCCCUUAUGCCCUGGGCCACACACGUGCUACAAUGGCCGGUACAGAGAGAAGCAAUCCCGUGAGGAGGAGCAAAUCUCACAAAGCCGGUCUCAGUUCGGAUUGGAGUCUGCAACUCGACUCCAUGAAGCUGGAAUUGCUAGUAAUCGCAGAUCAGCAUUGCUGCGGUGAAUACGUUCCCGGGCCUUGUACACACUGCCCGUCACACCAUGAGAGUCGGCAAUACUCGAAGUCGUUAUCUUAACCCGCAAGGGAGGGAGGCGCCUAAGGUAGGGCUGAUGAUUGGGGUUAAGUCGUAACAAGGUAUCCCUACGGGAACGUGGGGAUG